AUGUAUGUGAAGGAUUUUGAUGACGCCGUCAGACAAGUGGUUGAUCUUUUGUAUGAAAGCGAUGGUACUGCAGAAGGCAAAAUUAAAACAUUCUUGCUUCGUGGUUGGUUCGACGGGAGUGCUCGUCGGGUAUUGGGAGGAUGUGCUGUUCUUAGAGCUAUAGCGAAGCUUCUAAAAUCCACAACAUGUGAUGAUUCUGACAUGAGAAAGCACUUUGACAGAAUUAUCCAUGUGGACUGCUCCCUGUGGAAAAGCAGCAGGACCAUGCAGAGGACAAUAGCGGAGGAGUUGAACCUUCGCCAUGUAAUGCACAUAUUUGAUAAGGAGGAUGAAGAUGAUGAUUUCAGAGGAGUAGACAACAGCUCUAGAAAAGUGAUACCAAGGAUCGCAAGUUUGAUUAAUAAGUCUCUAAGAGAUGAAAGAUUUCUGAUGAUUUUUCAUAAUGGAGGAAGUGAAGAUAUUGAUCUCCUAGAGUCUGGCAUUCCUCUUUACGGUGAAGGUAAAUUGUUAUGUACCUAUGGUGGAAGAUUUUUGGAGGACAAGUGGAAAGAAUUCAAGUUGUUGCACACUUAUGAUAUUUAUAUUUAUCCGGCGGCAUAUUAUUAUACAAAUAUUGCACCUCAUAUUGAAAAUGUAUUGCACAAAGAAGCUGCUGGAGUGAUUGGUGACACCGGUAUGGAUGGCAUCAAUACAGAAACAGUUUUGGAUUGCUUCUUGUACUCAUUAUUCCUAACAACACGACUACCUGAAAACUUUACUGGUGUUGACUAUGGUUGGGCGACUCAUGCUUGUAACUACUGGAUAUGUGAUGGAAUCCUUGGUGAGGACAAAACAUGGGAUAUUGGCAAUACAUUGUAUCAUGUGAUACCAAUGUUGGGCAAUUCUACUUACGAAACAAGACGUUUGGCAUCCUAUUUGGAUGGACAGAAAAAACCCUAUGUGGGCUGGUAUUCAGUCACCUCCAACAAACUAAGGGCAGAAGAUAUCUCUAAUGUUCCUGGCAGUGCAUCAUCAUAUUUCUUAACAUUUCAGGGAGAUGAUCCAGCAUAUGUACGUAAUGAUUUGUUUCAACUAGCCAGCAACAACCUCCGUGUGCUAAAGCUCUACAACUGCAGCUUCACUUUUGCAUCUCCUCCUUUUCAGUGCUGCCACAACCUAAGAUUCCUUUGGCUUGACCAUUGUGCAAACACUGGGAAGAAGCAAAGUGGAGGGCCAAGUUUUCUGAACCUGCUGGUGCUUGACAUACGUUUCACAGAUUAUGUUUUCUUGCCUCAGAUGAUUGAACUGAUGACCAAUCUCAGGGAGCUAAAUACAAAGGGGGUCUCAUGGAAGCCUGCAAGUCAUGCAUGGAAAAAGCUACAGAAGCUUCAGAAGCUCCGAUUAACAGAAUCUUCAGAUGUGGUCACGGUGGACAGCUGCUCUUCCGUAGAUAUGAUGAACCUGGAGCUCCUUGACUUGUCAGGAAACACUCACCUGGAACAUUAUCAUCCGCAAGAAGCCUGA
This 1503-nucleotide ribosomal RNA is filed under the name Triticum aestivum (bread wheat). Its description in RNAcentral is "partial small subunit ribosomal RNA". Lineage: Eukaryota; Viridiplantae; Streptophyta; Magnoliopsida; Poales; Poaceae. The record is from RNAcentral.